Molecule: long non-coding RNA, 1081 nt
Organism: Felis catus (domestic cat)
Lineage: Eukaryota; Metazoa; Chordata; Mammalia; Carnivora; Felidae
Exons: 3
Source: RefSeq, a predicted model, not a curated record
CCCAGUUCUUAAUAUCAACCAAAUAGGCUCUGUUCAGUUCAUCUACCAUACAUGGAGGAACACUUGCUUACUCACUUUUGAUUUCCUAGAAAAAUUCAGAGAUGCUUUUAUACCGUACUUGGCAUGGAUUGUUUCUACCUGUCUGGAAUCCCUCUCGUCAUCUGAUAACAGCAGUUCAUGAAGAAUCACUCCUCUCCUGCCAGAUACAGUCUUAGUGGACCUUAGUCUUAGCAUGGGGGCAGCUGGCCCUUAAAACCCUGUGUGUGGAUUCUUGAAAAAGCCAGAUUCUACUUCCACAACUUCUCUUUGCCUCCCUGCUCCUCCCCCCCCCCCCCCCCCACCAGCUUCCAGGUCACAGGCCUGCAAGCUACUGGCUUUGGUGACAGAGUCCCUCCCAGGCCUGGCCCGUCUUGAGCAAAUACCAGGGAACCUCCAGGAAGGGCUGUGUGUUCUCCCAGUGGCCCCAAGUGUCUCUCUUCCUUUGUUUCAGGGCACAGGAGGAGCAAAAGCUUGAAAUAACAGACUUCAGUGAGUUCAGCUCUUUCCCCGGGACCACACUGCCCAUCGGUGACACCCCAGGGCAGCCUAAUUUUGCCAUAAAUCCCUUUGGACGGAGACGUCUUCCGCGAAGGGGUGCUGGGAAACCUCACGUGGACUCAGCGACGUUUGCUUCCUUUUCCGGCUGACGUGUCAUCUGAGAACAAUGUCAAAAGUUGGUGUUUUUCUGGAAAAACUCUUGGAAAGUUGAAGAAACAGACCUAUGUGAGAAGAAAGAACUUUGGAAACAGGAGUCUCUGGCAUCGCCUUUCGGCGGGGUGGGGGUGGAGGGGUCAAGCCCAGACUCGCCUCCUCCCUCCAAGCCUGUUACUUUGGGGACUUUGAGGAAAGUCAACCACAGUUCUGGUUCAUCCAUCCACUCUGAGGCCCAGCGUGUUCGGGGCUCAGAUCUAACUCUGCUACCUACGGCCUGGGUGCCCUUUGGCAAGUUAUUUAAUUUCCUGAGCCUCAGUCUUGUCAUCUGUGAAUUGGGGAUAAUAAUAAAAACUACAGCAGCAUAAGGCUGCAGGGAGGACUGACUGAA